GCUGUAUGAUGAGAUAAAGGCAAAUGUGACCCACUGGUUGGGCUGCACCCUUGACCCAUUUUCCCCCAUACAGGUCUGUAAUCUUGGUGGGCAGUGCAGAGUUGUGUGUGUGCACUGUAAGGGCAGACCGACAGAAUGUUCCACUCCCCACCCCCUUCCUGGAGGGGGUAUCCCAGCUUCUACAAAGAUUUCCUAGAGGCUGGACGGGGACCAGGGGUACAGGACAAACUUAGCAUGUCUGGGUAAUGGGUUGCAGGGUGUUGCCCAUAUUAAGACUGGUAGGGUGUGAGCACAGGUCUUUGGUAAUCUGAAAGCU
This 316-nucleotide small nucleolar RNA is filed under the name Sphenodon punctatus (tuatara). Lineage: Eukaryota; Metazoa; Chordata; Lepidosauria; Sphenodontia; Sphenodontidae. The record is from RNAcentral.